Molecule: ribosomal RNA, 593 nt
Filed under: uncultured Propionibacterium sp.
Lineage: Bacteria; Bacillati; Actinomycetota; Actinomycetes; Propionibacteriales; Propionibacteriaceae
Description: bacterial SSU rRNA
Rfam family: Bacterial small subunit ribosomal RNA
Source: RNAcentral
GCGGGAUGCCUACGGGAGGCAGCAGUGGGGAAUGUGUGCACAAUGGGCGGAAGCCUGAUGCAGCAACGCCGCGUGGCGGGAUGGACGGCCUUCGGGUGUGUAAACCGCUUUCGCCUGUGACGAAGCGUGAGUGACGGUAAUGGGGUAAAGAAGCACCGGCUAACUACGGUGCCAGCAGCCGCGGUGAUACGGUAGGGUGCGAGCGUUGUCCGGAUUUAUUGGGCGUAAAGGGCUCGUAGGUGGUUGAUCGCGUCGGAAGUGUAAUCUUGGGGCUUAACCCUGAGCGCGCUUUCGAUACGGGUUGACUUGAGGAAGGUAGGGGAGAAUGGAAUUCCUGGUGGAGCGGUGGAAUGCGCAGAUAUCAGGAGGAACACCAGUGGCGAAGGCGGUUCUCUGGGCCUUUCCUGACGCUGAGGAGCGAAAGCGUGGGGAGCGAACAGGCUUAGAUACCCUGGUAGUCCACGCUGUAAACGGUGGGUACUAGGUGUGGGGUCCAUUCCACGGGUUCCGUGCCGUAGCUAACGCUUUAAGUACCCCGCCUGGGGAGUACGGCCGCAAGGCUAAAACUCAAAGGAAUUGACGGAAUCACUAGU